UUAGUUCACAAGAGCGCCGCUAAGGCCCUUAUACGCGAAGGCUUCUGUGUGUAGACUAAGAAUCAUUUUGUCAUAUAAGGUUCGGUACCCGGCGCCUCCACCAAAAACCGGCGGUCUCGAAGGCCGGCUUUUGAUGGGGGCGAAACAGGAUCGACAAGGGUGUAAAGAUCGUCUUUUUGCUCGGCAUUGUACCGCCGUUAUCGGGCUAAAAUUGUAGUUGCAAACGACAACUAUGCGGAAGCUCGUCUCGCUGCUUAAUCGCGGUGUGACACUUCAAUCAAAGUCCUAGUGGUUCGCACCUCUAGGCGGGGUCCGAAGGCACCUGGCAACAGAAGCCUUCACC
Molecule: transfer-messenger RNA, 343 nt
Filed under: Rhizobium leguminosarum
Lineage: Bacteria; Pseudomonadati; Pseudomonadota; Alphaproteobacteria; Hyphomicrobiales; Rhizobiaceae
Rfam family: Alphaproteobacteria transfer-messenger RNA
About the family: Bacterial tmRNA, also known as 10Sa RNA or SsrA, is named for its dual tRNA and mRNA-like properties. Its role is to liberate the mRNA from a stalled ribosome.
Source: RNAcentral